UCCCUACGGGAGGCAGCAGUGGGGAAUAUUGCACAAUGGGCGAAAGCCUGAUGCAGCAACGCCGCGUGAACGAAGAAGGCUCUUGGGUCGUAAAGUUCUGUUCUGAGGGAAGAAGAAAGUGACGGUACCUCAGGAGAAAGCCCCGGCUAACUACGUGCCAGCAGCCGCGGUAAUACGUAGGGGGCAAGCGUUAUCCGGAUUUACUGGGUGUAAAGGGAGCGUAGACGGUGAUGCAAGUCAGAAGUGAAAGCCCGCGGCUCAACUGCGGGACUGCUUUUGAAACUGUAUGACUGGAGUGCAGGAGG
RNAcentral lists this ribosomal RNA (305 nucleotides) under uncultured bacterium. RNAcentral describes it as "bacterial SSU rRNA". It matches the Rfam family "Bacterial small subunit ribosomal RNA", at positions 335 to 655 of the family's 1533-position model. The record is from RNAcentral.